GUCGAACGAGGUCCAUGCAGUGGCAACACUGCGGAAGACCUAGUGGCGAACGGGUGAGUAACACGUGAGGAACUUGCCCCGGAGACCGGGAUAACUGUUCGAAAGGACAGCUAAUACCGGAUGUCCUCACCGAGCCGCAUGGUUUGGUGAGGAAAUGGAUUCCGCUCCGGGAGAGCCUCGCGGCCUAUCAGCUAGUUGGUGGGGUAACGGCCCACCAAGGCAUCGACGGGUAGCUGGUCUGAGAGGACGAUCAGCCACACUGGGACUGAGACACGGCCCAGACUCCUACGGGAGGCAGCAGUGGGGAAUCUUGCGCAAUGGGCGAAAGCCUGACGCAGCAACGCCGCGUGCGGGAUGAAGGCCUUCGGGUUGUAAACCGCUUUCAGUGGGGACGAACCAAGACGGUACCCACAGAAGAAGCCCCGGCCAACUACGUGCCAGCAGCCGCGGUAACACGUAGGGGGCAAGCGUUGUCCGGAUUCAUUGGGCGUAAAGAGCUCGUAGGCGGUUCGAUAAGUCGGGUGUGGAACCUCCAGGCUCAACCUGGAGACGCCACCCGAUACUGUCGUGACUAGAGUCCAGUAGGGGAGCGUGGAAUUCCUGGUGUAGCGGUGAAAUGCGCAGAUAUCAGGAGGAACACCAGCGGCGAAGGCGGCGCUCUGGGCUGGAACUGACGCUGAGGAGCGAAAGCGUGGGGAGCGAACAGGAUUAGAUACCCUGGUAGUCCACGCCGUAAACGUUGGGUACUAGGUGUGGGGUCUUAUCAACGGAU
RNAcentral lists this ribosomal RNA (772 nucleotides) under uncultured microorganism. Its description in RNAcentral is "bacterial SSU rRNA". It matches the Rfam family "Bacterial small subunit ribosomal RNA", at positions 61 to 839 of the family's 1533-position model. The record is from RNAcentral.